GAUGAACGCUGGCGGCGUGCCUAAUACAUGCAAGUCGAGCGAACAGACGAGGAGCUUGCUCCUCUGACGUUAGCGGCGGACGGGUGAGUAACACGUGGAUAACCUACCUAUAAGACUGGGAUCACUUCGGGAAACCGGAGCUAAUACCGGAUAAUAUAUUGAACCGCAUGGUUCAAUAGUGAAAGACGGUUUUGCUGUCACUUAUAGAUGGAUCCGCGCCGCAUUAGCUAGUUGGUAAGGUAACGGCUUACCAAGGCUACGAUGCGUAGCCGACCUGAGAGGGGGAUCGGCCACACGGGAAGUGAGACACGGUCCAUACGCCUACGGGAGGCAGCAGUAGGGAAUCUUCCGCAGUGGGCGAAAGCCUGACGGAGCAGCGCCGCGUGAGUGAUGAAGGUCUUCGGAUCGUAAAACUCUGUUAUUAGGGAAGAACAAAUGUGUAAGUAACUAUGCACGUCUUGACGGUACCGAAUCAGAAAGCCACGGCUAACUACGUG
This 497-nucleotide ribosomal RNA is filed under the name uncultured bacterium. RNAcentral describes it as "partial 16S ribosomal RNA". It matches the Rfam family "Bacterial small subunit ribosomal RNA", at positions 28 to 507 of the family's 1533-position model. The record is from RNAcentral.